Molecule: ribosomal RNA, 2708 nt
Filed under: Salmonella enterica subsp. enterica serovar Typhimurium
Lineage: Bacteria; Pseudomonadati; Pseudomonadota; Gammaproteobacteria; Enterobacterales; Enterobacteriaceae
Description: partial 23S ribosomal RNA
Rfam family: Bacterial large subunit ribosomal RNA
Source: RNAcentral
GGGUUGUGAGGUUAAGCGACUAAGCGUACACGGUGGAUGCCCUGGCAGUCAGAGGCGAUGAAGGGCGUGCUAAUCUGCGAUAAGCGCCGGUAAGGUGAUAUGAACCGUUAUAACCGGCGAUACCCGAAUGGGGAAACCCAGUGUGAUUCGUCACACUAUCAUUAACUGAAUCCAUAGGUUAAUGAGGCGAACCGGGGGAACUGAAACAUCUAAGUACCCCGAGGAAAAGAAAUCAACCGAGAUUCCCCCAGUAGCGGCGAGCGAACGGGGAGGAGCCCAGAGCCUGAAUCAGCAUGUGUGUUAGUGGAAGCGUCUGGAAAGGCGCGCGAUACAGGGUGACAGCCCCGUACACAAAAGCGCAUGUGCUGUGAGCUCGAUGAGUAGGGCGGGACACGUGGUAUCCUGUCUGAAUAUGGGGGGACCAUCCUCCAAGGCUAAAUACUCCUGACUGACCGAUAGUGAACCAGUACCGUGAGGGAAAGGCGAAAAGAACCCCGGCGAGGGGAGUGAAAAAGAACCUGAAACCGUGUACGUACAAGCAGUGGGAGCNNNNNGGGCGUUAAGUUGCAGGGUAUAGACCCGAAACCCGGUGAUCUAGCCAUGGGCAGGUUGAAGGUUGGGUAACACUAACUGGAGGACCGAACCGACUAAUGUUGAAAAAUUAGCGGAUGACCUGUGGCUGGGGGUGAAAGGCCAAUCAAACCGGGAGAUAGCUGGUUCUCCCCGAAAGCUAUUUAGGUAGCGCCUCGUGAAUUCAUCUCCGGGGGUAGAGCACUGUUUCGGCUAGGGGGCCAUCCCGGCUUACCAACCCGAUGCAAACUGCGAAUACCGGAGAAUGUUAUCACGGGAGACACACGGCGGGUGCUAACGUCCGUCGUGAAGAGGGAAACAACCCAGACCGCCAGCUAAGGUCCCAAAGUCAUGGUUAAGUGGGAAACGAUGUGGGAAGGCCCAGACAGCCAGGAUGUUGGCUUAGAAGCAGCCAUCAUUUAAAGAAAGCGUAAUAGCUCACUGGUCGAGUCGGCCUGCGCGGAAGAUGUAACGGGGCUAAACCAUGCACCGAAGCUGCGGCAGCGANNUGCUGGAGGUAUCAGAAGUGCGAAUGCUGACAUAAGUAACGAUAAAGCGGGUGAAAAGCCCGCUCGCCGGAAGACCAAGGGUUCCUGUCCAACGUUAAUCGGGGCAGGGUGAGUCGACCCCUAAGGCGAGGCCGAAAGGCGUAGUCGAUGGGAAACGGGUUAAUAUUCCCGUACUUGGUGUUACUGCGAAGGGGGGACGGAGAAGGCUAUGUUGGCCGGGCGACGGUUGUCCCGGUUUAAGCGUGUAGGUGUGUGUUCCAGGUAAAUCCGGUUCACUUUAACACUGAGGCGUGACGACGAGGCACUACGGUGCUGAAGCAACAAAUGCCCUGCUUCCAGGAAAAGCCUCUAAGCAUCAGGUAACAUCAAAUCGUACCCCAAACCGACACAGGUGGUCAGGUAGAGAAUACCAAGGCGCUUGAGAGAACUCGGGUGAAGGAACUAGGCAAAAUGGUGCCGUAACUUCGGGAGAAGGCACGCUGACACGUAGGUGAAGUGAUUUACUCAUGGAGCUGAAGUCAGUCGAAGAUACCAGCUGGCUGCAACUGUUUAUUAAAAACACAGCACUGUGCAAACACGAAAGUGGACGUAUACGGUGUGACGCCUGCCCGGUGCCGGAAGGUUAAUUGAUGGGGUCAGCGCAAGCGAAGCUCCUGAUCGAAGCCCCGGUAAACGGCGGCCGUAACUAUAACGGUCCUAAGGUAGCGAAAUUCCUUGUCGGGUAAGUUCCGACCUGCACGAAUGGCGUAAUGAUGGCCAGGCUGUCUCCACCCGAGACUCAGUGAAAUUGAACUCGCUGUGAAGAUGCAGUGUACCCGCGGCAAGACGGAAAGACCCCGUGAACCUUUACUAUAGCUUGACACUGAACAUUGAGCCUUGAUGUGUAGGAUAGGUGGGAGGCUUUGAAGUGUGGACGCCAGUCUGCAUGGAGCCGACCUUGAAAUACCACCCUUUAAUGUUUGAUGUUCUAACGUGGACCCGUAAUCCGGGUUGCGGACAGUGUCUGGUGGGUAGUUUGACUGGGGCGGUCUCCUCCUAAAGAGUAACGGAGGAGCACGAAGGUUGGCUAAUCCUGGUCGGACAUCAGGAGGUUAGUGCAAUGGCAUAAGCCAGCUUGACUGCGAGCGUGACGGCGCGAGCAGGUGCGAAAGCAGGUCAUAGUGAUCCGGUGGUUCUGAAUGGAAGGGCCAUCGCUCAACGGAUAAAAGGUACUCCGGGGAUAACAGGCUGAUACCGCCCAAGAGUUCAUAUCGACGGCGGUGUUUGGCACCUCGAUGUCGGCUCAUCACAUCCUGGGGCUGAAGUAGGUCCCAAGGGUAUGGCUGUUCGCCAUUUAAAGUGGUACGCGAGCUGGGUUUAGAACGUCGUGAGACAGUUCGGUCCCUAUCUGCCGUGGGCGCUGGAGAACUGAGGGGGGCUGCUCCUAGUACGAGAGGACCGGAGUGGACGCAUCACUGGUGUUCGGGUUGUCAUGCCAAUGGCACUGCCCGGUAGCUAAAUGCGGAAGAGAUAAGUGCUGAAAGCAUCUAAGCACGAAACUUGCCCCGAGAUGAGUUCUCCCUGAGACUUAGAGUCUCCUGAAGGAACGUUGAAGACGACGACGUUGAUAGGCCGGGUGUGUAAGCGCAG